GGGUUUUCUACUUGGAGAUUUCUCUUAUUGGAGUAUUUGGGCCCAGAUGCUUGUGAUAGAAAAAUCAACUCCUUAAUCUGGCCCAGGUUUGCAUGAGUGCUUAUUUGGUAGGAUUGAGAAGAAGGAACAAGAAGAUGAACGAGGCAGGACUGCAUCUUUAAUGACUGAUUCAGUUCGGUUUUGGCAGAAGAUUUUGCUCACUUCUGUUACUGAAUACCUACUCUCCAUAUUACACUUUGUGGGACAUCUGUUAACAUGAUUGCUGGUAUGCUGAAUAUGCAGUGUGGACAUGUGAGUUCUAGUGCUCUGGAGAACGCAUUGCACCAGAAUGGCUUUUCCUGUGAAAGAGGUCGUAACUGCAUCCAGGGAAAUCAUUAAUGGGAGUUCCUCUUAUCUUUCUUCAUGGAAGGAAAAUGUAUCCGUUUCUGUGCUCAAGUGCUGCUUCUGCAUGAGCCCUGCAGGAAUCCUGGCUGCUACUGCAGUUUCCUGCAGUGCCUGAGGUUACAACUACAUCAAAGCACAUAUUUAAUUCCCAUGUUACUUCAACAGCAAGAUAUGUGCACAGACUGACCUGAAGAAAAAAAGACUGCCACCGUAAGUGACAUGAAUUGAGACUGUCAUGAUUUUUAAUUCCUACCACAGAGGAACUACGAAGGUACUUCAUCUAUAUUAUAAAUUGUCAGAUUAAAAAAAAAGGGACCAGGUGUUCAAGCAUACGAAGCUUGGAUUUUACUGCUGUAGCACUCUGUAAUAGUCGGUUCCCAGAAUCAGGAAACACUGGAGACAACAUAGACACUGGCUCAUUUCAGCAUUCAUUUAGUGUGGAUUGACAAACAGAAGCCUGCUGCAGCUUGUGUGCUUUAGUUUGGCUGGAUCCAGCUAAAUGCCAAAGGUAUGAUCCUGAAUCUCCCAUAAGACUUAUUUUUUGGGCUUUACAUCAGACGCAUCCUUCAAAUGGUAACAUCUAGUCUUACUCAGUUGUCAAAAAGAAAGGAGAAGUGCCAUGCAGCAGUCUGGACACUCAGUCAUACACCAUUCUUCAUUUCUUUCCAUUUCUUUCAGAAUCUCUAAGAACCAGACCCUCCAUAAGAAAUGCAAUACUGACAGUGAGUGAUACACCAUGCAGAGGAGCAUUUUCAGAACUUCUACUUGCCUGUAUUUAAAAACAGCAACAACAACAACAAAAAACCCUACAUUCUGAGAUAGUAAGGAAACCCUUGCUCCCAACCAGAAGAGUCUCAUGGCUAUCAGUUCUCUAUUUGCAUAUAAGACCCUUUCAUGAAAUGCUAAUAACAUUAAACACAACAGCUUGGCUACACACAUAAUGAAGUUACAAGAGUUUUGUAAUUGAGAUGAAAAAUCCAAGUAAUGAGGUAAGAAGCAUAAAGAAAUGAAAUGGAAAAUUAAAAUGUGAAUAAAUGAACUGUGAUGCUUAUCUCUGCUUAUCAAAACUACUCAAUACUGAAUGAUGCAAAUUUGAAUUAUGGUUUGUAUGACCAGGAGUAUCUCAACUAAACCAAGUGCUAAAAAAAAUGUGCACAAACUUUCUAAGCAAUAUUACUCAUUUCCAGAAUGCUUUAUUCAAUGUUAUGAGCAUAUAAUAAAAUUAAGUGUUAAAAAAAACUCCGUCAUAACUGGUGGCCACUAAGACCACGGCCAAAGAAGUUAAUGAAUCCUAUUCCUCUAGGUGGGUGUGCACCUAAUCAAGAUGAAAAAUCUCUCAAAAAGGAAGAGUUAAAUGUAGUUACACCCAGUAAAAUUGCUCCAAGCAUUCAUGCAAAGUUUUAAGAGAUUUGACACAAGGCCAGUUGAAAUUGGCAUAAACCUUUACAAAGACAUCAGUGGACAUUGAUCCAAGACUUCUGUUGUGCUAUUUUCCAACUGUCGAGCUCUUAAAAAACACAAAUCAUUGAUUCAAACAUCUUAACGAGAGUUACAGCACGUAUCAGAGGCACAAAGUACAACUUUUACUUCCACUUAAAUAAAAGUGUAAAAGAAGAACUUUUUUGAAACAGACAGAAUAAGAACAGAUGACCUAAGAACGGUUUCUGGAUAUUUAAAAUUAGCUGAGGACCACAACCACAAGUUGCCUUUUAUCUCAUAUUCACAUUAUAGUAUUUUUGGAACCAUCUAAUGUCACAGCAUCCUGGAGCCUUUUCUCAUCCUUUUUGUAAUGAAAACUCAUGAAAUCAUCUUAGCUGCAGUUUAUUUUAAUCAAAGCUAAAAAUUCUUGUUUUCUAUCCUGAAGUGCUGCUAAGUUUCUGGUCAUUUAACAUCACAAAUGAAACACCUGAGACCUAUCUCUGCCACCAGCUGCUUCCCUUGCUGGAAGGAGGGACUACCCUCAUUCACAUGUACAACCUCUGGCAAUUAUCUGCAAGACCAUUUCACAUUGUGGAUUAAUGAGCAUCUCAGAAGCAGAAAAAGGAUAUGAUGGAAAUCCACAGAUCAUUAAGCUAUUCACACAACUUAGAACUACCAGCCAACAGCUAUAUGUUGCCGUAGGGCCCAAACUUGCCUCCAAAACUGGGCAAAUGUCUUCAGAAACCAACAUACUGUACUGUGUGCCAGAAAAAGGAAGAGGUCCCCCAAAACACUUGAAGCUCAGAGUUCACCAGGAUGAUGGAGAGAUGAGUCCUUUCCAUUGGGUUUUAUAGGUGGAUAAUGGUGGUCUUUCAUGAAGUACAGAGAUGAUCUUCAUGUUUGAGAUCCAAUUCUGCACAUGGUCCAAGGCAGCUGGUGGCAAGCCAACCCUGACUAGAAGCAAAGUAGCUGCUGAGAAACUGGCUUUAUGAACUCAAGCACAGCAUAACGUUCAUGUGUCUACAUGGUAUUUUGGAAUGGAGAUAGUUAGUGGCCAGCAGUUUGGAGAACAGCAAUGGUCAUUUCAGAUCCACUUCAAAUGCAUACUCAGACCUGACAGUCCCCUACAUAUAUAGCAGCAGCCUGAUACAAAAUUCUCUCAAGAGAGGGGAAAGGUGCCAGUUGUUUAUAAUGAGUUUUGGGUCAAGCCUUGAAAAAGGGGGUAGAGAUACAGCUUUCUCAUACAUACCACAGAAUUUUUGUUUCUCCAAAGCAAAGAUAAUCAACCAAUAAGAGCAGAAGGUUGUUCAAAGCAAUCCCACAUCGUGUAAGCAGUCAUAAAAAUAAUUAUUUAUUUAGAGAAUGUGUAAUGGAAGUUGCCUCACCUCUUGGGAUUGGUUAAAUUGGUAGUCUGAAAAACAUGCAAGACUACAACCUUACUUACUACAGUGAUAAGCCAAAUUAUUUCCAAGAAUUAUAGCCAGCAGUAUAGUACAUAGCGACCUGGAAUUAGAGAUACCUGAUAUCACUAACUGACUUUUUGAGAGAUGGGUUAUUGAGUACCUCUCAGGUUAGGGUCAAAAUGUCAGUGCUCUGGAAACAAUAAUAAAAAUGAGUAAAUUAAGAUGUAAAAUUGGGUAGAAAAAAUACAAGCUACAUAUCUGGCAAAGCAGAAUGAAGGAGCUGAAUUGUAGCAAGUGUAGCUGAGGUGAAAGAUAUCUUUACCCUUGGGAAGCAGCAUGAGCAAACAGCCAAACCAAUGGCAGUAUAUCAUGGUAAUUAAAGAAGUUUGUUCACUCUCUGCUAUGACCUACAGCCUUCUGGACUGUAGCUACAAUUGGGACAGCAGCAGCUAACAGAGCUAAGGCAUAUUUUGCCUCCAUAUGUUGUUUCUGCUCCCCUCAGAAGGGCAUUUCACCCAUGUGCCCAUGUUGUUGAAGCACUGGGUGAAUUAAAGAAGGUUCUGAGGCAGAGCAACAGGGACACAAUCCAUCAUUUUCCAACAAAGAGUGAAAGGUCUAAAUACACAUACUACAGGCUGUUAAAUGACUGACUUUUAGAGUGCUGAACAUCCAGGAGCUCCUGUAGAACAGAACAUUGUCUCUAGACUGCAAGCAUUUUCAGGGUGCAUUUAUACCAGUUUGGGAAAGAAAAUGUUCUGGGAAACUAGUGAGAAUGGACUCUCAUGAGGUUUCCAAUAAUAUACAGGCAUUAUUGAAGUCAGAGAUCCCACGAGUAAAACUCAGAGCAUUUUCAUUUUUGAUCCUAUCCCAAACCAGGCAGCACAAAGUCAUGCAAACAUACUAAACAAAAGAGAAUUUAAAUUAACUAAACUUUUCCCUAGCUUUUAUGUUUGCCAAACAAAUUCAUCCAUUCUUCAGAAAAGUAUCAAGUCUGUACAAGGGCAGCUUCUAAUGACUAUCCCAGUCAGGCAAGAACAAAUGUAAUAUUUUAUUGGUCUCAGUCCUUGGCUAAUGAGAAUAACCUCAGCAGACCUCUCCUGAUUUUCACCAGAUUGUAGUAACUGGCUGCGUACCACAGCAAAUGUUUAGGUUAAAUUAAUGGACUUUAUAUAUACUAAAAUAUUUUUAUCAUCAAAGAAGUAUUAGAAUCACUGGUUGCCUAUUUCAACUUAAGAACUGUACAGAAGAUCACAUGUUUCUUUAGGUUCUAAGUGAGUCAUAGGAAAACUCAGUUUACUUUGUUUUCUAACAUAAUGUAGAUUUCUUGCAAAUGCAAAAUGUAAGGAAUUCUUAACAACAUAGCAUUUUAUUAUCUACGGAUCUGACAGAAGGAAAGUAAGAAGUUGAAACUGCAAUCUGAGCUGGUCGUGAAAGACUACUCUGUAUGGCUGCUCAAAAGAAGUGCUAUGCAGAACUUUCAGCAAUUACUAAAACAAGGUAACAAAAUUGCACGUCUUUAAUUAUUCCUACAUGAACAAAGACAACGUUACCUCUGAAUAGUGCCUUUGUAUUUCUGCAGUUGACUGAACUUGUUUAAAACAUCUUUUUGCAACUCUCUGUCAACAUAUGGCAAAUAAGGAAAUACUCUUUAUUUUUUCCUCCACUGAAAGUAAUUGAACCACUCACGUUGGUAUUUAAAUGUAUUAAAUUGGCAUUUAUUGCAGGGUAAUGAGAUAUUCUAGAACUAACACAAAGUUGAUGGUUUAGCCAAAGAUUAAAUACAUGCUCUUAAGUACCUGAGCUUCCUCAUUUAUCAUGUUAAAACAAAACAAAACAAACAGCAAAAAACCCACACAAACGGGCAUCAUAAAUAGAAGAAAAAUACUGAUGUAGACUACAGCAUUAUGAUACCAUGGACAGACUGUUAAGAUUUAAAUGCCAAAGGUUUGCCAAGCAGCACUCAAGAUCACUUCAUUAACAAUUCCAUCAGUAUGGGUACUGACUGAGUUUUUGGCUUGUUAUAAUGUUUCUGGAAAGCAAUUAGCUAAAACCAACAACUUGAAUUAAGGCUUGGUGGCUGUACAAGCAGUUGGGUACUGCCUGUUUAAGCAAAUCCCUUCAACUGUAAGAUAAAAUCUAGAUGUUUUAUUAGUUAUGACAGUUCUAAAAUCCAACACAAAGUAAACAGGAAACAGCAGGAUUGUUUUAUGAAUACACUUAUGUUUCACUUUUCCUAAAAAGAGGCAGCCCAUAUUUGUCAUGUGCUGUCUUAUAGUUGAUUAGUUACUUAUGGCACACGAAGAGUAAUAAACCAACUGACCUCAGAAGAUAACUUAGUCUCCUAAACUAGCAUGUAACAAAGGUCAUUGCUGGAUCAGGACUUAAAAGAAUUCUCUGCACAUGAGAGAAGCCCUACCUUUUGGAAAUUUUGAAGCACAGAAGGCACAGACCUCCUUGUCCUCUCACUUUGGGUGGCAGCACAAAAUAAAAGCACCAUUUAUGUUCUACUCAGAUCUCUGAAAUGUGACUUCAAGAUACCUAGAUCAUUAGCAAGAAUUGUACUGCUCAAAGGACUGGGUGCAAUGAAAAUGCACUGGAAAGACUCUCCUCCUUCAUGUACAGCUAAUCAGUUUUAUGUUGAUGGGAUUAAUAUAUAUUAAUAUUCUUAGGGAAACUGUAUGGCUUCUGAAUGAAUCUUCCGAUCCUGCAAUUGUGAUAAAGGCAAAACCAGUAACAUCAUUUAAAUAAUAAUGACAUUGAAAAAAGACUGCUUAAAGAAAAAAUACGGAUGAUGAUGAUAGAUAACUAAAACCAGUACUUGGAAAUUCUUUUCCAUAGGUACUUAGCAUUAGCAGAUGCUUGCUUGAGUGUUUCCGAUCAGCAACAUUCCUUCCUAUCGGACAUGCAACUCCAAACACUACAAGUCAUAAAUCAGGCCUCACAGGAAACAAUACUGUAAAUUGUGAGAUUUUAAAACAUAAUACUGAAGGUCUUUGGUGUUUUGUUUGCUUUCUGAUUUCUUGAACCAUUUUGGAUGAAUCUUUAAUUUUUUUUUUUUUUUUUUUUUACUCUUUUAUGAUUGUGUGUAUGAGAAUCAGACUUUUUCUUUAGUGAAAACUCAGCUUUUCCUGUGAUGUUAGAAUUUUGGCAGCUAUUCUUUUCAGGAGAACUUUACGUAUCAUGAGAGUGGCAGAAAAGCCUGAAAGACACCCUGUUGAAGUUGCAGCCAGGAGACACUGAACACACUCAGACAGCACACCGCUAGCUGACAGCAGACACUUCGCUCUGUUCAGUGACUUACGCUGACCACACCAAAGAUCCUCAGGGAAUGCUUUAGACAGUGACAGUUUGCUACCCAUGCCUACUUUUCCCCAGUGAAGAUCUUCCAGAUAAAAGCUUUGGCCUGGCAGAGCUGAUGCAAAUGCAUUUGAGGGGGCAGAAGAUCUGAGACUGUCUGACCUGGGAUAAUUUGCAUUCAAACCAAAUAAAUCCAGUUCAAUUCC
Long non-coding RNA from Gallus gallus (chicken), 6709 nucleotides. RefSeq lists it as uncharacterized. Lineage: Eukaryota; Metazoa; Chordata; Aves; Galliformes; Phasianidae. The transcript has 9 exons. The record is from RefSeq and is a predicted model, not a curated record.